Molecule: ribosomal RNA, 367 nt
Filed under: uncultured bacterium
Lineage: Bacteria
Description: bacterial SSU rRNA
Rfam family: Bacterial small subunit ribosomal RNA
Source: RNAcentral
UACGUAGGUGGCAAGCGUUAUCCGGAAUUAUUGGGCGUAAAGGGUGCGCAGUCGGCUGAUUAAGUUUGUGGUGAAAGUGCGGGGCUUAACUCCGUAUGGCCAUGAAAACUGGUUAGCUAGAGUGCAGAAGAGGGUAGUGGAAUUCCAUGUGUAGCGGUAAAAUGCGUAGAUAUAUGGAGGAACACCAGUGGCGAAGGCGGCUACCUGGUCUGUAACUGACGAUGAGGCACGAAAGCGUGGGGAGCAAAUAGGAUUAGAUACCCUAGUAGUCCACGCUGUAAACGAUGAAUACUAAGUGUUGGAGAAACUCAGUGCUGCAGUUAACGCAAUAAGUAUUCCGCCUGGGGAGUAUGCACGCAAGUGUGAA